This is a non-coding RNA of Brassica rapa (field mustard), 168 nucleotides long. RefSeq annotates it as microRNA MIR408. The record is from RefSeq and is marked provisional. Lineage: Eukaryota; Viridiplantae; Streptophyta; Magnoliopsida; Brassicales; Brassicaceae.
UGAAAGGAGAGAAAAAAAAAGAGAAGGGAUAGAAAGAGGAGGGAGCCAGGGAAGAGGCAGUGCAUGGGAAGAGACCAAACAUAGUCAUUUGAUGUUUUGGUAAAAACUCAAUCCAUGCUCUGCUUGUUCCCUGUCUCUCUCUGAUUACCACUUUUGUCUUCUUCAUUU